This 1022-nucleotide long non-coding RNA is filed under the name Urocitellus parryii (Arctic ground squirrel). RNAcentral describes it as "lncRNA (ENSUPAG00010019012.1)". The record is from RNAcentral. Lineage: Eukaryota; Metazoa; Chordata; Mammalia; Rodentia; Sciuridae.
CUUCUCCCUAGGGCCUCGCGGGCCUCGUGCGUGCGCACGCGCGCCGUCCCCCGGAGGCGUCUGGGUGUGCGGAGCGCGCGCGCGCGGCUCGGAGGCGCACCUGUGAGGUGUCCCCGGAGGAACGGCGGGUGGGCGCGCGGAGCCCGCGGCCUGGGGCGCUCGCAGCCCGCACUUGGACGCGCAGGCCGCGGAGCAUCGCGCUCAGGUGAUGAAGAGCGCGUCGCGCACCCGGCGCAGGAGCCAGCCGCCGCCGGACGCCUCCAUUGUUUGACCACGCCAGGCCGGCCCUGCCCAGCAGGAUCCUCAGGCUGGAGGAAGUCACCUGCUCUUGCACCCUGCAGCCACUGUGGGCCCUGCCUCUGCCUCCUCUUCUGGAAUGUCUUGAGGGUUCUGAUUCCUGUCACUGUGACCUGCAAAUCCAAGAGACACAUCCCUCUGGAAGAGAAGAGAACUGCGUCCUCAGGAUUAAAAAAGAAGACUGGUGUGCUACCUGUGUAGGAAUUCCCAGGAGCAAGACUCGCCACACCUGAGCUCACUGUAAAGGCUAUGCAGCUGUGCAGGAGCAGAAGGAUGUACUGACCGUCUCAAGGGAGGCUGUGGAUGCUCAUGACCAUCAGUGCUCUCUCACCCUCCAAAACUGGGUGCACACUGUGCGGUCCUUUUCUAGACGUGAGAAGUACAAGAUUACUCUAUGAGAGGAAGGCUCCAGGGGCUUAAAGACACGUGCACCUUGGCCACCCCUUGGAAUGUUGACGACUCAGGAUCUAAAGGAAAUUCUGUGUUAGAGUAUGGAAUUCAUGUGGAAGUAAAUGUCACUUUAUAAUCGGUAAUAACACUGAGUAAGGAACACUAUGCAGGAAGAAACCUUCCUUAGAAAGACAGGCAGGGAAAAGCUUAGGCCGACCUUAAACUUGCCCAGCAGCUUAAGCCUGAGAUAGGCUGCCAGAAUGGCCAAAUAAGAGACUCUAUGAAGUAGCAGUCCUGUAACUGUAGUAGUUGUAAGGAAAUUUUCUCCUCUAAAU